Molecule: RNA transcript, 1917 nt
Organism: Choloepus didactylus (southern two-toed sloth)
Lineage: Eukaryota; Metazoa; Chordata; Mammalia; Pilosa; Megalonychidae
Gene: GOLGA7
Gene name: golgin A7
Exons: 6
Source: RefSeq, a predicted model, not a curated record
CAAGACGUAAUUGACGGGGCAGGCGGCGCGACAGCAGCUGGAGGGCCGAGGAGGCGGCGCGGCCGGUCGUGUCCUCGCCAUGAGGCCGCAGCAGGCGCCGGUGUCCGGGAAGGUCUUCAUUCAGCGAGACUACAGCAGUGGCACACGCUGCCAGUUCCAGACCAAGUUCCCCGCGGAGCUGGAGAACCGGAUUGAUAGACAGCAGUUUGAAGAAACAGUUCGAACAUUAAAUAACCUUUAUGCAGAAGCAGAGAAGCUUGGGGGCCAAUCAUAUCUUGAAGGCUGUUUGGCUUGUUUAACGGCAUACACCAUCUUCUUAUGCAUGGAAACUCAUUAUGAGAAGGUUCUGAAGAAAGUCUCCAAAUACAUUCAAGAACAGAAUGAGAAGAUAUAUGCUCCCCAAGGCCUCCUCCUGACAGAUCCCAUUGAGAGAGGACUUCGAGUUUUAGAUUGAAAUUACCAUUUAUGAAGACAGAGGCAUGAGCAGUGGAAGAUAAACCAUAGAAUUAAAGAUCCCACUUUAAGCUGGGACCCUCAUCUGUCCACUGGCCGAUCACAGAGUGUCCCCUACCUCCUCUCCAGAGCAUCAUUCCUUUGUAUCUGCUGCCAGAGCCAUGGUGCCAUUUACUCCAAGGACUGACUUUCUAAAAUUCCGCACCUGGGGUGACCUCUAGUUGCUCAGCAUCCACUUUGUGUCUCGAAAUUGUGUAGGAUUCUGUCAUCUUUUAAUUAGUUUCUGAGAAAACACAAUGAAGCAUUUUGCUUUUUUAUUCAAAGCCAUUUAAUAAAAUAUGCUGUCCGCCCAAUGCAAAGUUGAUUUCUUAUGUGCCACCAGUACCAUUGGUUCUCUUCAUUCCUUGGGUGAGCUUCCCAGAUGACUUUAGACUUCAACAAGUCGUAUCUUCACCAGUGUUCAGUCUUAUUCCCUCAAGUUAGUAAAACGUUUUUCUCUGGGAUUUUGGUGAGGGAUAGGCUGUAUCUGUGGUUUUGCUAAUGCAUCUCCCAGAUUUCAAGGAACCACCAGUUUUGCCAUGAGUCAGAUCUUAAGAAGAUCCAUUUUUGCUGUUUAAUUUCUCAAACUACAGCUCAUUAGAAAGAUAAUGUAUAAUGUUAUUUGUUUUAUUCUAGCAGUUAUUUUUAAUUAAACAGUAUUUAAAGCAAUUUCUAGUUAUUUUCUUUGGAGAGCUUUGUUAUUAUUGCAUUACCAUGAAGGUUGGGAAGAUGUGUGUUUUGCUUGUUCAUUACAAAAAAUAAGUAAGCACAAUAAAGUGGAUGCUAAACCAUCAAACACAUAAAUGUUUCCUGCUGUGUCCCUGAAUGUGUAAUAAACAAGUGUAAUAUUUUAAUUAUAGUUUUGUUAUAAAUGUAACUUAUGAGGAAAAAAUUUGAUAGGAAUAAUACUGUAUAUUGCUAAUUUUUAACUAUCCUUACUGGCAAAUCUUAAGAAUUCUAGACCUUCCUCAUAUACAGUAUUCAGUGCACAGAAAUCUUAUGGUUCAAGUAAAGUAAGUGAUUUCCAAGUAAAACUCCCAAGUCUAAGUCGGUAUUUCUAGUCCUUUUUUUGUCUGUACAUUUCUUAGUACCAGGGCUUCUUAUGCCCUUAGUUCAUCUUUGGGGUUUGAGAGCACUGUAUCUAAAUAGAGAGUUUAAGAAAUAUAUUAGGAGAGAAUGAAACAGUUAAAAGUUUUACUUUCAGAGAUAUUGUAGGUGCUAAUACUGGAUUUAAUCUUUCAGAUUUAAUUUUUCUUAUGGGUUUGUUAGUUAUUCAAUGAACCCCAUAAGUCUAUGUAAUACUUUAAUUGUAUAAAAACCCUUUUGUUACUUUACAGCCUGUAAGAGUAUGUCUGUCUGCCUUUUAAACUGUUGCAAUAACUUUGCUGAUAUAUUAACACAUUAGUAAAACUUUUCUUAAACAAA